UAAGAAUCAAAUGCUUUUAGUACGCUAGAUUUUGGCUACCAAUUAACUUAAUUAGUUGAUUUUUCUAAAACACCCUCUUCACAAUGUGAGAAUACCCUUUCUACCACCCGCCCACUUUCCUCUACACAAAGUCAGAACACCCUUCAUAAAUACAUUUUGAUCUCUUUCACACUAAUACAUUUUUUCUACAGAGGUCACAAAUUAUGUGCUUGCACCGUCCAUUGGACGUCCACUAAGACAUCAAAUUGAAAUUGGGUCGACGUCAAGCGCACCUAAACCAACAC
Molecule: long non-coding RNA, 284 nt
Filed under: Panax ginseng (ginseng)
Lineage: Eukaryota; Viridiplantae; Streptophyta; Magnoliopsida; Apiales; Araliaceae
Description: long non-coding RNA (PGIN_LNC006138)
Source: RNAcentral